This 253-nucleotide ribosomal RNA is filed under the name uncultured bacterium. RNAcentral's name for it is "partial 16S ribosomal RNA". It matches the Rfam family "Bacterial small subunit ribosomal RNA", at positions 524 to 776 of the family's 1533-position model. The record is from RNAcentral.
CACGUAGGGCGCAAGCGUUGUCCGGAAUUAUUGGGCGUAAAGCGCACGUAGGCGGCCUGAUAAGUCGGGUGUGAAAGCCCUCGGCUUAACCGAGGAAGUGCAUUCGAAACUAUCGGGCUUGAAUACUGAAGAGGGUCUCGGAAUUCCCGGUGUAGAGGUGAAAUUCGUAGAUAUCGGGAGGAACACCAGUGGCGAAGGCGGAGACCUGGGCAGAUAUUGACGCUGAGGUGCGAAAGCGUGGGGAGCAAACAGG